GACGAACGCUGGCGGCGUGCUUAACACAUGCAAGUCGAACGGAAAGGCCCUGCUUGCAGGGUACUCGAGUGGCGAACGGGUGAGUAACACGUGGGUGAUCUGCCCUGCACUUCGGGAUAAGCCUGGGAAACUGGGUCUAAUACCGGAUAGGAGCCAUUUUUAGUGUGAUGGUUGGAAAGUUUUUUCGGUGUAGGAUGAGCUCGCGGCCUAUCAGCUUGUUGGUGGGGUAAUGGCCUACCAAGGCGGCGACGGGUAGCCGGCCUGCGAGGGUGGACGGCCACAUUUGGACUGGGAUACGGGCCAGACGCCUACGGGGGGCAGGAGUGGGGAAUAUUGCACAAUGGGCGCAAGCCUGAUGCAGCGACGCCGCGUGGGGGAUGACGGGCUUCGGGUUGGAAACUCCUUUCGCUAGGGACGAAGCUUUUUGUGACGGUACCUAGAUAAGAAGCACCGGCUAACUACGUG
Molecule: ribosomal RNA, 465 nt
Filed under: uncultured bacterium
Lineage: Bacteria
Description: partial 16S ribosomal RNA
Rfam family: Bacterial small subunit ribosomal RNA
Source: RNAcentral